CAGUCGCCGCGGGAAUACGAAGGGUGCAAGCGUUAAUCGGAAUUACUGGGCGUAAAGCGUGCGUAGGCGGCUUGGUAAGUUAGAGGUGAAAGCCUGGAGCUCAACUCCAGAAUUGCCUUUAAGACUGCCGAGCUAGCAGGUGAGAGAGGUAAGUGGAAUUCCGAGUGUAGAGGUGAAAUUCGUAGAUAUUCGGAAGAACACCAGUGGCGAAGGCGGCUUACUGGCUCAUACUGGACGCUGAGGUGCGAAAGCGUGGGGAGCAAACAGGAUUAGAUACCCGUGUAGUCCCUGUCUCUUAUAC
Molecule: ribosomal RNA, 301 nt
Filed under: uncultured bacterium
Lineage: Bacteria
Description: partial 16S ribosomal RNA
Rfam family: Bacterial small subunit ribosomal RNA
Source: RNAcentral